GAUGAACGCUGGCGGCGUGCCUAAUACAUGCAAGUCGAGCGAACGGACGAGAAGCUUGCUUCUCUGAUGUUAGCGGCGGACGGGUGAGUAACACGUGGAUAACCUACCUAUAAGACUGGGAUAACUUCGGGAAACCGGAGCUAAUACCGGACGAUAUUUUGAACCGCAUGGUUCAACAGUGAAGGACGGUCUUGCUGUCACUUAUAGAUGGAUCCGCGCUGCAUUAGCUAGUUGGUAAGGUAACGGCUUACCAAGGCAACUAUGCAUAGCCGACGGGAGAGGGGGAUCGCCCACACGGGAACGUAGACACGCACCCUACGCCUACGGCAGGCAGCAGUCGGGAACCUUCCGCAACAGGCGAGAGCCUUACGGAGCAACGCCGCGUGAGUUACGACGGUCUUCGGAUCGGAAAGCUCUGUUACUAGGGAAGAACAUAUGUGUAAGGAACUGUGCACAUCUUGACGGUACCUAAUCAGAAAGCCACGGCUAACUACGUG
This 497-nucleotide ribosomal RNA is filed under the name uncultured bacterium. Its description in RNAcentral is "partial 16S ribosomal RNA". It matches the Rfam family "Bacterial small subunit ribosomal RNA", at positions 28 to 507 of the family's 1533-position model. The record is from RNAcentral.